AACUUUUAGCAAUGGAUCACUAGGCUCUUGCAUCGAUGAAGAACGCAGCGAAAUGCGAUACGUAAUGUGAAUUGCAGAAUUCAGUGAAUCAUCGAAUCUUUGAACGCACCUUGCACCCUUUGGACUCUCUGAAGGGUAUGCUCGUUUGAGUGUCAUUGUACUCUCACACUCUCUGAUCCUUUGGAUUUGGGGAGCGGUGGACUUGGGUGCUUGCUGCUUCCUUGUGGCUCACCUGAAAUGCGUCAGUGCAUCUCUUGAUUGGACAUAGUACGGCGUGAUAAGUGUCUUCGCCGGCACCUCGUAAGAGGGUGGCCGAUUGGGAGCUCUGUGCUUUCCAACCGUCUUCGGACAAUCUCUGACAACUUGACCUCAAAUCGAGUAGGACUACCCGCUGAACUUAAGCAUAUCAAUAAGCGGAGGCU
Molecule: unclassified non-coding RNA, 422 nt
Filed under: uncultured Sebacinaceae
Lineage: Eukaryota; Fungi; Basidiomycota; Agaricomycetes; Sebacinales; Sebacinaceae
Description: sequence contains ITS2
Rfam family: 5.8S ribosomal RNA (bases 1-155)
Source: RNAcentral